This 233-nucleotide long non-coding RNA is filed under the name Lathyrus oleraceus (garden pea). RNAcentral's name for it is "Pisum sativum (pea) long non-coding RNA (PSAT_LNC010639)". The record is from RNAcentral. Lineage: Eukaryota; Viridiplantae; Streptophyta; Magnoliopsida; Fabales; Fabaceae.
UUUUAAAAAUAAACCAGUGGAUAAAAGCUCAAAUGGAGUUAACAAUGGUUAAUAAUAAAAAAAGAUGUCUAGAAAGGCUCAGGGGUAAUAUCAAAAACGUGCCUUAGUGUGUGUAGUCAUGCAACCGAAAUCAGAAAAGAACGUAUGCAAUUCUGAAUGAUAAAGACAUACAUGAAUGCUCUCUUAUGAUGUACAUUGUGUUUGGCUUUUUCUGCUCUUACCAUGUUGGGUAG